Molecule: ribosomal RNA, 384 nt
Filed under: uncultured bacterium
Lineage: Bacteria
Description: bacterial SSU rRNA
Rfam family: Bacterial small subunit ribosomal RNA
Source: RNAcentral
AUUGAACGCUGGCGGCAUGCCUUACACAUGCAAGUCGAACGGCAGCACGGGAGCAAUCCUGGUGGCGAGUGGCGAACGGGUGAGUAAUAUAUCGGAACGUGCCCAGUCGUGGGGAUAACGUAGCGAAAGCUACGCUAAUACCGCAUACGAUCUAUGGAUGAAAGCGGGGGGAUCGCAAGACCUCGCGCGAUUGGAGCGGCCGAUAUCAGAUUAGGUAGUUGGUGAGGUAAAGGCUCACCAAGCCGACGAUCUGUAGCUGGUCUGAGAGGACGACCAGCCACACUGGGACUGAGACACGGCCCAGACUCCUACGGGAGGCAGCAGUGGGGAAUUUUUGGACAAUGGGCGCAAGCCUGAUCCAGCAAUGCCGCGUCGCAGGAUGAA